Daphnia pulicaria is the source of this 466-nucleotide long non-coding RNA. RefSeq lists it as uncharacterized. The record is from RefSeq and is a predicted model, not a curated record. The transcript is spliced from 4 exons. NCBI's taxonomy places the organism in Eukaryota, Metazoa, Arthropoda, Branchiopoda, Diplostraca, Daphniidae.
UGAGACGUGUCAAAUAGAUGGCUUGUUGAUUGUAUCAGUUAUGGAAUGGCGGUUUGCUGUCAAAAGUUAAGCUAUCCUUUCUUCGAAAAUUACCAAUGAAUUCAUAGGAAGAAACGUUAAAGAGUCGUGGCCGUCGUGCAGCCUACCGUCAACUAUUUUGUUCAAAAUCAUUGUAUUCUACUAAAUGUGCAAUCGAAAUGAUACAGGAGUCAUAAUUGUAUUGGACUUGCUUGAUCACCAACCCCAGCAUAGACCAAUCUCUCAUUUCAUCUUCUCGAGAGAAGAUUGGAUAACUGAUUGGUGGUUUCAUGUGAUCUAAACUCCAGGUUUCUAAAUUUGCAUGGCAGACUUAAUGAGAAGUCAUGUCCUUUCAAGAAAGUCAACAAGGUUCCUUGUUUACUAACCUGUUGGCUGCUACCCUUGAAUCUCCCUUUUUACUUUCUUAAGCUGGCCAUCUUUAUUUGAG